Mus pahari (shrew mouse) is the source of this 3264-nucleotide RNA transcript. It is a transcript of the gene named BICD family like cargo adaptor 1, with no coding region annotated. The record is from RefSeq and is a predicted model, not a curated record. NCBI's taxonomy places the organism in Eukaryota, Metazoa, Chordata, Mammalia, Rodentia, Muridae. The transcript is spliced from 12 exons.
GCAGCCUGGCGCGCGCCGGCCGGGCCGCACCGCUGCGGGCUCGGCGCGCGCGGGCCAUGUCCGCCUUCUGCCUGGGCUUGGCCGGCCGAGCUUCAGCACCCGCCGAGCCGGACAGCGCCUGCUGCAUGGAGCUGCCCGCUGGGGCCGGGGACGCAGUCCGGAGUCCCACCGCCGCCGCCGCCGCCGCCCUCGUCUCCUUCCCCGGGGGUCCCGGGGAACUGGAACUGGCCUUAGAGGAGGAGCUGGCGUUGCUGGCGGCCGGGGAGCGGCCGUCCGAGCCCGGCGAGCAUCCUCAGGCGGAGCCAGAGUCUCCGGUUGAGGGGCACGGAUCGCCGCCGCCGCCUACCCAGGAUCCCGAGCUGCUGUCGGUGAUCCGCCAGAAGGAGAAGGAUCUGGUGUUGGCGGCCCGGCUAGGCAAGGCGCUGCUCGAGAGGAACCAGGACAUGAGCCGGCAGUACGAGCAGAUGCACAAGGAGCUGACGGACAAGCUGGAGCACCUAGAACAAGAGAAACAUGAACUGAGAAGGCGAUUCGAGAAUCGAGAAGGGGAGUGGGAAGGACGGGUGUCUGAGCUGGAGACUGACGUGAAGCAGCUACAGGACGAACUGGAGAGGCAGCAGGUCCAUCUUCGGGAAGCCGACCGAGAGAAAACCCGAGCUGUCCAGGAACUGUCAGAACAGAACCAAAGGCUGCUGGAUCAACUCAGCAGGGCGUCUGAAGUUGAGAGACAGCUCUCCAUGCAGGUCCAUGCUCUCAGAGAAGACUUCCGGGAGAAAAACUCAUCCACCAACCAGCACAUCAUCCGGCUGGAGAGCCUACAGGCCGAGCAGGUCCUUGAAAUCAAGAUGUUGUCAGAUCGAAAACGGGAGCUGGAGCAUCGGCUCAGUGCCACCUUGGAGGAGAAUGACCUGCUUCAGGGGACUGUGGAGGAGCUACAGGACCGGGUGCUGAUCCUGGAAAGGCAGGGCCAUGACAAAGACCUGCAGCUGCACCAAAGCCAGCUGGAGCUCCAGGAGGUGCGGCUGUCCUACCGGCAGCUGCAGGGCAAGGUGGAGGAGCUCACGGAGGAGAGGAGCUUGCAGAGCUCGGCCGCGACCAGCACGUCCCUGCUGUCAGAGAUGGAGCAGAGCAUGGAGGCCGAGGAGCUGGAGCAGGAGAGAGAGCAGCUGAGGCUGCAGCUCUGGGAAGCCUACUGCCAGGUUCGCUAUCUCUGCUCACACCUUCGAGGGAAUGACAGCGCCGACUCAGCCGUGUCCACAGACUCGUCCAUGGACGAGUCCUCAGAGACCUCGUCGGCCAAGGACGUGCCUGCUGGCAGCCUGCGCACCGCCCUCAAUGACCUCAAGAGACUGAUCCAGAGCAUCGUGGACGGCGUGGAGCCCACGAGCACCCGGAGGAUGGACGAUGACUCCUUAGAAGAGCAAAUAAGGCAGACCACUGAGGACUCAAGAGCCCUGAGGGAGCUCAUGGAGGGAGAGAGGGGUAAACUGAGGCAGAGCCUAGAAGAGCUACAGCAACUCCACAGUCAGGUGACACUGCUGAGUGUGGAGAUGACUGCACUGAAGGAAGAAAGGGACCGACUCAGAGUGACCUCCGAGGACAAGGAGCCAAAGGAGCAGCUUCAGAAGGCUAUCAGGGACCGGGACGAGGCCAUCGCCAAGAAGAACGCUGUGGAGCUGGAACUCGCCAAAUGCAAGAUGGACAUGAUGUCUCUGAACAGCCAGCUACUGGAUGCCAUUCAGCAGAAACUGGACCUCUCUCAGCAGCUUGAGGCUUGGCAGUUCGCGUCCUCGGGGCUCUUUACUGUCUGGCUGCUUUGGUUUCUGAUCUAGUGGCCUUUCUCAGUUCCUGUGCCAACAGCUUUAGUUGUACACCCCUCCUGCCUUUGAGGAUGACAUGCACAGGGUCAUUGACAGGCAGCUGAUGGACACGCACCUGAAGGAACAGAGCCGGCCCGCUGCUGCUGCCUUCCCUAGGGGCCACGGCAUAGGGCGGGGGCAGGAACCCAGCACCACAGACGGCAAACGGCUCUUCUCCUUCUUCAGGAAAAUUUAGGUGGGGAGCAGUCUGGCCAUUGAGAAGGGGGGACUAGCGGCAGUCUGAAAAGGGCUACCCCUUAGCUGGAGCCGGGCAGCUACACUGUCUGCCUACCGGCCCUGGAGCCCAAUUAGCUCCAGAGAGCUCACUCCCUAUGUCAAUGUAAUGGAGACUGAGAGGUAGGGGGCCUGCCUUGUCCUCUGAAGGCUGCCCCCCACCAAGGGACGGAGUGAACCCUGUCCCCACUGCUCAAGCCAAGCCGCAGCCUGGGCUUUCCCAGGAUCCAGUUAGUGACAGGGCUCAGCCGCACAGACCCACAGCCCACCCUAGAGGCUCUGCUGCCUUCUUGGAUUUUGAACGUGGGGAAGAGAUUGAGGCCUCCUGUGCAUGCCUCAGGAGGCCUGAGCCUCCACUCGAGCCCCAGCCACCGGCCUGGAGUAGGGGAGGCCCGGCCCCUCACCCGUGUGCAUGCACCUCUGCUGGAGCCCUGCACAGCAGGAGGCCCAGCCUGUGGCUGUGAGGCCUAAGAACCGGGUGUACAAGCUCUGUUGAGGCCAUCCUGUACCCCAGGGAAGGCCAUCUUCUGGCUGCCUCCAGUGCAGUCCUUACCCCUAGGGAGGCCUGGGCCGGGCAGCAUUCCCAUUGCCCCUGUAGGCUUUUUAGCCUCCAGACUCCCCCUCAUGGGAUAGGACUUGUCUUCCACAGCACCCUCCCACCUCAAAUGCAACUUCUUGGCCAAGCUGAGCAAGUUGAGGCCACAAGAGCGGCCUCUGAGGGGCCUGGUUCUACUACCCUCACACUGAAGGUCGCGUGGGUGCCACAGGGUAGAUGGGGUAAGGCUGCUGGGAGCCUCCAGAUACUGCCCACCAGGCCUCUAAGGGACAAAGGCCUAAGCCUGCUGCUUCUGCUCCUUCUGCAGCAGCCCCCACCCCCCCAUCUCUGCUGAGGCCCCAGCUCAGAGGCUGUGGGCCCAGCCUGCAGCUGCUCACCUCUCUCUGAGCCUCCUGCCCUCCACAGGAAAAGCACAGCAGGGCUGAGCGGAAAGAAUGUACUUAUAGAUAUGUACAUACCACAGUGCUGUAAUUUUGUAUGUAGCAAUUGUGUAAAUACAUGUAUGGAUUUUAUAAUACACACAUAUAAAUCUAUAAAGGCAUAUUUUUAGAAAAACAGCGCACCACUGCUUCUUUUGCAAAUAGUCUGAAUAAGAAUAAAAUGAAUUUCUACAGA